This 262-nucleotide long non-coding RNA is filed under the name Gossypium barbadense (sea-island cotton). RNAcentral describes it as "long non-coding RNA (GBAR_LNC008182)". Lineage: Eukaryota; Viridiplantae; Streptophyta; Magnoliopsida; Malvales; Malvaceae. The record is from RNAcentral.
AACGCUUGCAAAGAAAAAAGAAAACAAGAAAGAUGACAAAAAUAGCAGAAACAACAAAAAAGAAAAGAAAAUAUAUAUGUAAUCGGCUAUAAAGCUGUAAGAUUGAGAUGUGUUUUUUUUACAGAAAAUAAAAAAUAGAAUAGAAAACUACAAUAGUUUUAAGCAGAAGGUAGUUCUUUUUCUUUAUUAUUUUUUGAGUCACGCAUACAUUAAAAAAAUUUAAUUAAUUCAUUUUUUUUCGUUGCCUCAGCUAUCGGUGUCG